CGGACGGGUGAGUAACACGUGGAUAACCUACCUAUAAGACUGGGAUAACUUCGGGAAACCGGAGCUAAUACCGGAUAAUAUAUUGAACCGCAUGGUUCAAUAGUGAAAGACGGUUUUGCUGUCACUUAUAGAUGGAUCCGCGCCGCAUUAGCUAGUUGGUAAGGUAACGGCUUACCAAGGCAACGAUGCGUAGCCGACCUGAGAGGGUGAUCGGCCACACUGGAACUGAGACACGGUCCAGAAUCCUACGGGAGGCAGCAGCC
RNAcentral lists this ribosomal RNA (263 nucleotides) under uncultured Staphylococcus sp. RNAcentral describes it as "partial 16S ribosomal RNA". It matches the Rfam family "Bacterial small subunit ribosomal RNA", at positions 99 to 355 of the family's 1533-position model. Lineage: Bacteria; Bacillati; Bacillota; Bacilli; Caryophanales; Staphylococcaceae. The record is from RNAcentral.